The sequence is a transfer RNA, 72 nucleotides long. It matches the Rfam family "tRNA". From Rfam's summary of the family: Transfer RNA (tRNA) molecules are approximately 80 nucleotides in length. Their secondary structure includes four short double-helical elements and three loops (D, anti-codon, and T loops). The record is from Rfam.
GCUGCCGUAGCUCAGUGGUAGAGCACUCCCUUGGUAAGGGAGAGGUCGAGAGUUCAAUCCUCUCUGGCAGCA